This 419-nucleotide long non-coding RNA is filed under the name Rattus norvegicus (Norway rat). RNAcentral describes it as "long non-coding RNA NONRATT026351". Lineage: Eukaryota; Metazoa; Chordata; Mammalia; Rodentia; Muridae. The record is from RNAcentral.
CUGAACACAGUCCGGAAUAUUACGGCCGGACCAGGGAAUCGGGAUUCCAGCAUCACCACCAGGAGCUGUACCCACCACCGCCUCCGCGCCCUAGCUACCCUGAGCGUCAGUAUAGCUGCACCAGUCUCCAGGGGCCCGGCAAUUCGCGAGCCCACGGGCCGGCCCAGGCGGGCCACCACCACCCUGAGAAAUCGCAGCCGCUCUGCGAGCCGGCGCCUCUCUCAGGCGCCUCUGCCUCCCCGUCCCCAGCCCCGCCAGCCUGCAGCCAGCCAGCCCCUGACCAUCCCUCCAGCGCCGCCAGCAAGCAGCCCAUAGUCUACCCUUGGAUGAAAAAAAUUCACGUUAGCACGGGUAGGCAACUUUGCUUUUUGCCCCCCUCCCUUCCCGGGCGCUCCCCACCCUCCCUGGCCCCCUCUGGC